AGUGAACGCUGGCGGUAGGCCUAACACAUGCAAGUCGAACGGCAGCACAGUAAGAGCUUGCUCUUACGGGUGGCGAGUGGCGGACGGGUGAGGAAUACAUCGGAAUCUACUUUUUCGUGGGGGAUAACGUAGGGAAACUUACGCUAAUACCGCAUACGACCUACGGGUGAAAGCAGGGGAUCUUCGGACCUUGCGCGAUUGAAUGAGCCGAUGUCGGGUUAGCUAGUUGGCGGGGUAAAGGCCCACCAAGGCGACGAUCCGUAGCUGGUCUGAGAGGAUGAUCAGCCACACUGGAACUGAGACACGGUCCAGACUCCUACGGGAGGCAGCAGUGGGGAAUAUUGGACAAUGGGCGCAAGCCUGAUCCAGCCAUACCGCGUGGGUGAAGAAGGCCUUCGGGUUGUAAAGCCCUUUAGUUGGGAAAGAAAAGCAGCAGGUUAAUACCCCGCUGUUCUGACGGUACCCAAAGAAUAAGCACCGGCUAACUUCGU
RNAcentral lists this ribosomal RNA (491 nucleotides) under uncultured bacterium. RNAcentral's name for it is "partial 16S ribosomal RNA". It matches the Rfam family "Bacterial small subunit ribosomal RNA", at positions 29 to 506 of the family's 1533-position model. The record is from RNAcentral.